RNAcentral lists this ribosomal RNA (482 nucleotides) under uncultured bacterium. Its description in RNAcentral is "partial 16S ribosomal RNA". It matches the Rfam family "Bacterial small subunit ribosomal RNA", at positions 28 to 507 of the family's 1533-position model. The record is from RNAcentral.
GACGAACGCUGGCGGCGUGCCCUACACAUGCAAGUCGAACGGAACUGUUUUGAAAGAUUUCUUCGGAAUGAAUUUGAUUUAGUUUAGUGGCGGACGGGUGAGUAACGCGUGAGUAACCUGCCUUCAAGAGGGGAAUAACAUUCUGAAAAGAAUGCUAAUACCGCAUGACAUAUCGGAACCACAUGGUUUUGAUAUCAAAGAUUUUAUCGCUUGAAGAUGGACUCGCGUCCGAUUAGUUAGUUGGUGAGGUAACGGCUCACCAAGACCGCGAUCGGUAGCCGGACUGAGAGGUUGAACGGCCACAUUGGGACUGAGACACGGCCCAGACUCCUACGGGAGGCAGCAGUGGGGGAUAUUGCGCAAUGGGGGCAACCCUGACGCAGCAACGCCGCGUGAAGGAUGAAGGUUUUCGGAUUGUAAACUUCUUUUAUUAAGGACGAAAAAUGACGGUACUUAAUGAAUAAGCUCCGGCUAACUACGUG